AUUUUUCAUGUUAGUUUGAAUUUUGGGUGUACAUUCACUUGCAAACAUCCACGAGAUAAAACUCGUCCAUUAGGGAUAAUCUAGGGGUUUAAAGGCUUGUUGCACAUGCUAAGUGCAACCGUGAUUCCUACGAAAGUGAGUUAGGAUUUUUGCAUUCUAGAUUAGUUUUUUGUUUACUUAAGGACAAGUAACGUUCAAGUG
Long non-coding RNA from Telopea speciosissima, 201 nucleotides. RefSeq lists it as uncharacterized. Lineage: Eukaryota; Viridiplantae; Streptophyta; Magnoliopsida; Proteales; Proteaceae. The transcript is spliced from 3 exons. The record is from RefSeq and is a predicted model, not a curated record.